Molecule: long non-coding RNA, 4102 nt
Filed under: Homo sapiens (human)
Lineage: Eukaryota; Metazoa; Chordata; Mammalia; Primates; Hominidae
Description: HSALNT0326831
Rfam family: Prostate androgen-regulated transcript 1 conserved region 3 (bases 2665-2795)
Source: RNAcentral
UUUAUGAGCUGUAACACUCACUAUGAAGGUCUGCAGCUUCACCCCUGAAGCUAGCAAAACCGCGAACCCGCCGGGAGGAACGAACAACUCCCGACAUGUGGCCUUAAGAGCUGUAACACUCACUGCGAAGGUUUGCAGCUUCAUUCCUGAGCCAGCGAGACCGUGAACCCACCAGAAGAAAGAAACUCCGAACACAUCCAAACAUCAGAAGGAACAAACUCCAGACACGCUGGCUUUAAGAACUGUAACAUUCACUGAGAGGGUCUGCGGCUUCAUUCUUGAAAUCAGUAAGACCAAGAACCCACCAACUCAGGACACAGUGUGAUUUUCACAGCCGGAAAUUGACUUGGAAAUCCUUAAGUUUUUUUUAAUGCAGCUUUUGGAUAGCCAUAAAAAUCUUAUACCUUCCUUUAAUGUUAUUUAAAUUUUUGAAAUAAGUUCAGUAACAAGAAAACAAGAUGGACACAACAGUAACUUUAAAACGAUUUUCUUUAGAUCUUAAAAGAUACGUAUUUCAGCCAGGCAUGGUGGCUCACGCCUGUAAUCCCAGCACUUUGGGAGGCUGAGGCGGGCAGAUCACGAGGUCAGGAGAUUGAGACCAUCCUGGCUAACACGGUGAAACCCCGCCUCUAGUAAAAAUACAAAAAAAAAAAAAAAAAUUAGCCCGGAGUGGGGGCAGGCGCCUGUAGUCCUGGCUACUCGGGAGGCUGAGGCAGGAGAAUAGCAUGAACCCAGGAGGCGGAGCUUGCAAUAAGCCGAGAUUGUGCCAUUGCACUCCAGCCUGGGUGACAGUGUGAGACUCCAUCUCAAAAAAAAAAAGAUAUGUAUUUCUUCCUUUGAUUAUGUGGCUACAAUGUGAGCACUGAAUCUGCUUGCUGACGGCCAGCUUUUCACUCCUAAGGAAAUGGAGAAAACAGAGCCAGAGGUAGGCUACUCUCCAUGUCAAGCUUAUCUGCUGCUUUAUUUUCAAAUACCUUAAGACCCUUUCACCCUGACUCUGAUACACCCCAUAGCAGGCCAGGACCCUUCUUAUUCCAAAACCAUAGUUUUACAGACAAAGGGACAGUGAGACUCCAGUGACUUACUCUUAGCCACACAGCUAGUUGGCAAAGAAAGAAAACAGAAAUCGUGCUGAUGGAGAGGAAGAUUCAGAGGAGGAGGAGAAACAGGAUAAUGCAGGCUUAUAAUAAUUUGCUGUGGGAAAUCAAAUGAUGUGGGCAGCAACAAAGGGACUUAAGCAAAAAGAUUUUUUAGGAAAAGAGACAUAAGCAAAAAAGGGACUUCAGCAAAAAGAAUUUUUAGGAAAAGCAUUCUUGCUGCUGUAUGCAGAGUGCAAUAAAUAACCCAUGUCAUUAACCCAUGUCCUUAUCUCUGCACCUUUUGCUACCAGAACCUAAAAUAAUACCAAGAAAAUAUAUUUAAAGGUAAAAUCUGGUGGUGGUUUGUUUUCAUUUGAGUAAAUUUUCUAUGUAUAAUCAGUGAUUAACCCAUUUUAGGAAUGAAGUAGAAAUGAAGGGUUUUCUCCCCAGUGGUUAUAACAAACUUGAAGGCUCUAUGGCUAAAAGUACAAAUUCCCUUUUGUUGCUUCUUUGUUGUUGUUGUUGUUUCUGAGAUAGGGUCUUUGUGUUGUCCAGGUUGGAGUACAGUGGUGCCAUCACGGAUCACUGUAGCCUCAAUCUCCCAGCCUCAAUCAAUCCCCUCACCUGAGCCUCCCGAGUAGCUGGCAUGCAGGAAUGCAUCACCACACCUGGCUAAUUUUUGUAUUUUUAGUGGAGACGGGGUUUCGCCAUGUUGCCCAGGCUGAUCUUGAAUUCCUGGGCUCAAGUGAUCCACCCACCUUGGCCUCCCAAAGUGCUGGGAUUACAGGUGUAACUGCACCCGCCUAUAGUUUUUUCAAGGGCAAAAAAUUACAAGUUGAGCACUCAUGAGCUUAGAGUCUUUUGAAUGUUCUCCAAAUCAAAAGUCAAGUUUUAGUCCUACUUCCCCUAAGCAGAGAGUUCUUCCCAGCUUAGAGUUUCAUUUCAAAGAACUGAUGGCAAAGAUUUUUCAGGUACAGUUCUCAUAUUUGAAAGCUUCAUUCCUUCCCAGCACAACUGUGUGCAUAUUGACCUAAUACAGACCUGUGUUUUUGGUAGAUUCUCAGAAAAUGUUUGAUGGUGACCUUGGCCUUUGGGACUUGGCCACCACCCUUAGCUUUCAUAGCCUUUUCCCAGAGGGAACCAGAUGAAAAAGGAACUUCAAGCCUGGAAUUAUUCUGUUUAGCCACUUCUGUUGCUUACCAAAGGCUUUGCCAAUGAUAAUACUGAUAAAGGGCAACAUAAACACAUCUAUGUGUGAGUUGCCAUCUGAAACUGAAGUUAAACACACUUGGUGCUGACCAAUAAACUGUAGUGCUUUUUCAGAAGAAAAGAGAAUAUUCCUUUUCUCUUGGAGCCAUGGAAAACAGGCAAUAGUAUGAGUGUUCACUUCCACCUUCCACCCUUUCACUAUGAAGGACCCUCACCAGAUGGUGGCACCAUGCUCUCGGACUUCCCAGCCUCCAGAACUGGACGGGUAAAUUGAAGCAAAAAGCAGACAAGUUCUAUGGGAUUUGCUGGCAUUGAUUUCCCAGGAUGGCAAAGUGCUAAGAACUAAACCUUUAAAGCUAACAAAAUGUACUGAUGUCUUUGCAAAGUAUCCAAGACCAACAAGAAAGUAAUUUCCCACCUCACCCUACCACCACCCAGAAAAGGAGCACAGAGAUGGGGAAGAGAGUGGCUGCAUCUGGCAUCCAGCCAGAGGAGUCCGUGCAGGGAUUCUGGAUCCCUCUUCCCCCACCCCACUGCCCUUCCCCCUCCACCCCAGCGUUUUGGAGAAGCAAGAAACUGUGAUGAUGCAGCUCCCUCAAGUAUCACAUGAAGAUAGUGGAAAGAGCCUCCUGAGGUAAAUAUGCCAUGUAGACAGAAACAAGCAAUGGCUCAACAGCAAUGUAUGAGGUCCAAGGACCAGGACCAAAGGGAAAAACAGCCAUCUCACCAGACACCUGCCUACGACCAGAUGCGUCAUCUCCAAUAUUAGCUAACUCCCUGGAACCUGGACUCAAGGUGUGAAAUAAAGGUUAAUGGGAAACCGCAGGAGUCAAAAGGAGGGGGCAGGAUUAUUGAGGAUUCAGGCUGUUGAGAAAUGAAAGUUUGGAUCACUCCCCAGAUAAAGAACCUUGACCAUUUAAGGGCAAUGGAAAUACAGAAUAGGCAGUAGAAGAAGGAAGCCAUAGAUACCAACUAUGGCCUCUCAAUCAAUUACAAAACUGAGAAUUCUGACAGUUUUGUGUAUUUCCUCUUUGCAUGUGAUGUAUAUGUGUGUAUUUGUAUAUAUUAACCAUUUUCCUUUUUCUCUCUUCAUUAUUUUAUGAAAGUUGUUGAAUAUAAACUCUACAAUUUAGCCUUUAGGUAAGAGAAUAUUCAGUGGGACUUUGAUUUGAGGAGUAUUUAAGACAGCCAGAUGAGACUACGAUAACUGUUGGAACUGUGUGUCUCCUCAUUUGGGGAAAGGGGUGAGAACUCUGCAUUUCUCUGAAGAACAGAGUUGACUUUGUGUUAUACAGAGUUCAAAUAUAUAUAUAAAAUGGUGCAUGUGGAAGCUAAGAAGCCAAAGGAGUUCACCAAGACAGUUAUCAAUAUAUUGCCUCUCCGCUCCAAAUCCACCCUUCUUUGCCCUGUUCCACGAUACUAAUCUGGCUCCUCGGUCAGCCAGUGCAAUGUCAUCUGUUGCUGGUAGAGUGUAGGGGAGACACUACAAGGUAUAGUAAAGGGGUCAGAUGCGGUGUCUCAUGCCUGUAAUCACAGCCCUUUGGGAGGCAGAGGCAGGAGGAUCACCUGAGGCCAGGAGUUUGAGACCAGCCUGGACAACAUGGUAAAACCCCAUCUCUACUGAAAAUACAAAAUUAGCACGCACCUGUAAUCCCAGCUACUCGGGAGGCUGAGGCAGGAGAAUCACUUGAACCUGGGAGGUGGAGGUUGCAGUGAGCCAAGAUCGCAUCAUUGCACUCCAGCCAGGGAAAAAAGGCAAAACUCUGUCUCAAAAAAAUAAAUAAAUAAAAUAAAAUAAAACAAGGUAUAGCAAA